RNAcentral lists this long non-coding RNA (849 nucleotides) under Gossypium barbadense (sea-island cotton). Its description in RNAcentral is "long non-coding RNA (GBAR_LNC017817)". The record is from RNAcentral. Lineage: Eukaryota; Viridiplantae; Streptophyta; Magnoliopsida; Malvales; Malvaceae.
GUUCAACAAAUAUUCCAACUUCACAUACCCAUUAAUCAACCAUCUAAGUGAUAGAAAUACUUCAAUACAUCAAAAUUACAAAAGGAACAAACUAGAGAAAUGAAAGAUUAAAGAAACAAUCAAGCAAUAAUCUGAAUUUUAUUGAAAAGAAGACUAACGUUUCUGUUUAUGAGGUUCAACUAUUAACAACCUAUUAGUUAUCUUAACCAGAGUAUUAGCAUUUUUGCAUGUGCUUCAUAUGCUAAUAUUUCAUUACUAACAAUCUAGCUCAAACGAGCUUUGUAAGUAGCCUAACGGCUUACCUUUAAAAACAAUAAUGAGACAAGAAAAAAAAAAAGAGCAAAAAACAAUCAAGAUAACUUGCUUUCAAUUAAUGCAUAUACUAAGCUCGCUAGAGCUACUUGAAUAUUUACAUUUUGAAAAGCAAAUCUGGUACAAUAAGCUAGGCUGUUAGACUCUACCUUGCUUCCAAUUGUCCUUCAACAAUGAAACUUGGGUCUCAAUCCACUAUCUCUGUAGAAAAAUUUCAAUUUGAUAAUUUCUUCCUCAGAUUUCAUGACUGCUGGAUGAGAAGGCAAAACUAUAUUCAGCUCACAUGGUACUUUCAAAAGAAUAGAAGCAGCCACAACAGCUCUACCCUAGAAAGCAAAGUUACAAAAGAGUGGGGCCAUUGUUGUUUCAACAACUAUAGAAAACCAUUGCAGGAAAACACCAUUAUACAAUCGUAAAUCAAGGCUCACAUAAAGAAUUGGACCACUAGGUGGAGUGUCCAAGUCGUGGGACCCACCAAAAGAUAAAGAAUGAAAUGCAUGAGAACCACUUGCUAAUUUGCCAAGAGAUAAAGCUGAA